AUGAAGCUGCUGCCGUCGGUGGUGCUGAAGCUCUUUCUUGCUGCAGUGCUUUCGGCGUUGGUGACUGGCGAGAGCCUGGAGCGGCUUUGGAGAGUCCUGGCUGCUGGAGCCAGCAAUCUGGACUCCCCUACUCAAUCUACGGACCAGCUGCUGCCCGUGGGAGGUGACCAAGGCUGGGAAGUCCUGGACUUGGAAGAGGCAAACCUGGACCUUUUCAGAGCUGCUUUCUCCUCCAAGACACAAGCUCUGGCCACACCCAGCAAGGAGGAGGGAAGAAGAGAAACCCAUGUCUUCGGAGAUACAAGGACUUCUGCAUCCACGGAGAAUGCAAAUACGUGAAGGAGCUCCGGGUUCCAACCUGCAUCUGCUACCCAGGUUAUUAUGGAGAGAGGUGCCAUGGGCUGAGCCUCCCAGUGAAAAAUCGCUUAUAUACAUACGUGCGAUCACACAACCAUCCUGGUUGUGGUGGCUGUGGUGCUGUCAUCCGUCUGUCUGCUGGUCAUCAUGCGGCUUCUCAUGUUUUGGUACUACAGGAGAGGAGGUUAUGACGUGGAAAAUGAAGAGAAAGUGAAGUUGGGUGUGACUACGUCCCACUGA
This 597-nucleotide long non-coding RNA is filed under the name Bos taurus (domestic cattle). RNAcentral describes it as "long non-coding RNA NONBTAT005486". Lineage: Eukaryota; Metazoa; Chordata; Mammalia; Artiodactyla; Bovidae. The record is from RNAcentral.